This is a non-coding RNA of Lolium perenne, 779 nucleotides long. The record is from RefSeq and is a predicted model, not a curated record. Lineage: Eukaryota; Viridiplantae; Streptophyta; Magnoliopsida; Poales; Poaceae.
AACGUGCUGUCCAGGCCAUCCCGAAUUCAGCCCCUCCAAUUUGGGCCAAAAUACCCAAUUUGGGCUUUCACCGGGCUGGUUCCCCUUGGUUUGGCCUGCAGCCAAUCGAAUCCAGCUCCUGGAAGUGACAAGAGGCAUCGAACGACACCGCCCAACGCGAACCGCUCCUCUUCCUCUUUGUUCCGCCCUUGCUCGGGAUCGAUCUCUUGCUCGCCGUCGCCAGACUCCCGGCGCCUGUCCGCCCCGCCCGUCGCCCUCCUGCUCAGCGCUCGCCACUCCCUGCCGGCUACCAUUAAGGAUUAGGCGAACGGCGGGUCAGCGGCACACCUAAAUUCCGGCACGAUCGCUGCAACACCAUACAAGAACCAGCAGUUCAUCAAUAUUGUCGGCACUGCUGUCAGUGAGUGAAUUCACAAGAAGUGACCAGUUCACUGUUCAGGCACGAUCUAAAAAAUGAAGCACAAGCAGCUGAUUUGAAACGUUUGUGGGAUAAAGCUGCAAAGAAACCGAAGAUAGUUACUGAGGUUGGAAGCCAAAACCAAGAUGAAAAUGUGAGCAAUCCUCCUUCCAAUGAAAAUGUGAGUUAAAUAGCAUUUUUAUUGUUCUUCCAAUACAAUUUAUUUACUUGAGAGCUGAGACGUUGUCACUACUAUGAAGUAUCAAUAAUUUGUAAUUCCGUUCUUGUUAUUCUGAAGCUACAUAUAUUAAUUAUAUUGUUGUGUUGGAUUUUUUUUAAAACUUUGAAUACCCAAUAUAAAAAUCCUGGCUCCGCCACUGAU